This 498-nucleotide ribosomal RNA is filed under the name uncultured bacterium. RNAcentral's name for it is "partial 16S ribosomal RNA". It matches the Rfam family "Bacterial small subunit ribosomal RNA", at positions 30 to 523 of the family's 1533-position model. The record is from RNAcentral.
AUUGAACGCUGGCGGCAUGCCUUACACAUGCAAGUCGAACGGUAACAGGUCUUCGGAUGCUGACGAGUGGCGAACGGGUGAGUAAUACAUCGGAACGUGCCUAGUAGCGGGGGAUAACUACUCGAAAGAGUGGCUAAUACCGCAUGAGAUCUACGGAUGAAAGCAGGGGAUCGCAAGACCUUGUGCUACUAGAGCGGCCGAUGGCAGAUUAGGUGGUUGGUGGGAUAAAAGCUUACCAAGCCGACGAUCUGUAGCUGGUCUGAGAGGACGAUCAGCCACACUGGGACUGAGACACGGCCCAGACUCCUACGGGAGGCAGCAGUGGGGAAUUUUGGACAAUGGGCGAAAGCCUGAUCCAGCAAUGCCGCGUGCAGGAUGAAGGCCUUCGGGUUGUAAACUGCUUUUGUACGGAACGAAAAGCCCCGGGUUAAUACCCUGGGGUCAUGACGGUACCGUAAGAAUAAGCACCGGCUAACUACGUGCCAGCAGCCGCGGUAA